Molecule: ribosomal RNA, 253 nt
Filed under: uncultured bacterium
Lineage: Bacteria
Description: partial 16S ribosomal RNA
Rfam family: Bacterial small subunit ribosomal RNA
Source: RNAcentral
UACGAAGGGUGCAAACGUUGCUCGGAAUCAUUGGGCGUAAAGCGCACGUAGGCGGCUUCGCAAGUCGGAUGUGAAAUCCCUCGGCUCAACCGAGGACGUGCAUCCGAAACUGCGGAGCUUGAGUACUGAAGAGGAUCGCGGAAUUCCCGGUGUAGAGGUGAAAUUCGUAGAUAUCGGGAGGAACACCAGUGGCGAAGGCGGCGAUCUGGGCAGUUCCUGACGCUGAGGCACGAAGGUCAGGGGAGCAAACGGG